Miniopterus natalensis is the source of this 460-nucleotide non-coding RNA. The record is from RefSeq and is a predicted model, not a curated record. NCBI's taxonomy places the organism in Eukaryota, Metazoa, Chordata, Mammalia, Chiroptera, Miniopteridae.
GGGGCUGGUAGAGCAUUGCUAAGCGACGGAGAGGCUUUGCUAAGCGACCGAGAGCCGCACGCUGCCGGAGGGGAGCAGGCGGAAACGCUGAGGCAGCUGCGGGAUGAACCGCAGCCUCCCAGCUUUCUCCACUCAAGACUGCCCCUUUGGGGAUGCUCCCCUGGGUCAAAGCUAGACGUGGUACCCCAAGGUGAGGACACCCCACGGAGAGUCCUGUGUGCCAGCCCAGUAGCAAGGGAGUGAAGAUCUGUGAUAAGAGAUGCGGAUCCUGAGCCCAUCCAGGUCCCAGAGAUCCAGGAUCCCAGAAACUUCCAAGGCUCUGGCCACGGAUCCCAACUCCCAUGAGCUGUUUGAGAAGUCCUGGCCAUCCAGCUCAGGGACCCCAUCCCCACCCAGCACCACUGAGGAACAGAUGGGUGCCUCCCCACCACCCACCCUGAUUGACACUGGUGACUCUGUG